GACGGUACCUGAAGAAAAAGCAUCGGCUAACUCCGUGCCAGCAGCCGCGGUAAUACGGAGGAUGCAAGCGUUAUCCGGAAUCAUUGGGCGUAAAGGGUCCGCAGGUGGCGAAUAAAGUCUGCUGUUAAAGACCGGGGCUAAACUCCGGAAGGGCAGUGGAAACUGAUUAGCUAGAGUACGGUAGGGGUAGAGGGAAUUCCCAGUGUAGCGGUGAAAUGCGUAGAUAUUGGGAAGAACACCGGUGGCGAAAGCGCUCUACUAGGCCGAAACUGACACUGAGGGACGAAAGCUAGGGUAGCGAAAGGGAUUAGAUACCCCUGUAGUCUUAGCUGUAAACGAUGGAUACUAGGCGUAGCUUGUAUCGACCCGAGCUGUGCCGAAGCUAACGCGAUAAGUAUCCCGCCUGGGGAGUACGCACGCAAGUGUGAAACUCAAAGGAAUUGACGGGGGCCCGCACAAGCGGUGGAGUAUGUGGUUUAAUUCGAUGCAACGCGAAGAACCUUACCAGGGCUUGACAUGUCGCGAAUCUGGCGGAAACGUUAGAGUGCCUUAGGGAACGCGAACACAGGUGGUGCAUGGCUGUCGUCAGCUCGUGUCGUGAGAUGUUGGGUUAAGUCCCGCAACGAGCGCAACCCUCGUCCUUAGUUGCCAAUAUUAAGUUAGGCACUCUAGGGAGACUGCCGGGGACAACUCGGAGGAAGGUGGGGAUGACGUCAAGUCAGCAUGCCCCUUACGUCCUGGGCGACACACGUACUACAAUGGUUGGGACAAAGGGCAGCAAGCUCGCGAGAGUAAGCGAAUCUCAUCAAACCCAGCCACAGUUCAGAUUGCAGGCUGCAACUCGCCUGCAUGAAGUAGGAAUCGCUAGUAAUCGCAGGUCAGCAUACUGCGGUGAAUUCGUUCCCGGGCCUUGUACACACCGCCCGUCACACCAUGGAAGCUGGCUACGCCCGAAGUCGUUACCCUAACCCGGUUUUGGGAGGGGGAUGCCGAAGGUAGAGCUAGUGACUGGGGUGAAGUCGUAACAAGGUAGCCGUACCGGAAGGUGUGGCUGGAUCACCUCCUUUACAGGGAGACCUAGUCUAAUUACCAAUAGAUAAAAAAGUUGGUAAUUAGCAAGAAUCCUUAGGUCGUGAAGGGAGCAAGAAAAAACUUUCAAACUGUAAUAGGCGAGGGUAAAUGGGCUAUUAGCUCAGGUGGUUAGAGCGCACCCCUGAUAAGGGUGAGGUCCCUGGUUCAAGUCCAGGAUGGGCCACCUGAAAGACACAGGCAGGAUGCCUGUCCCACAAAAAAAGGAAAAAAUUUUAGCAUUGUCUCUUGUAAUCAAGAGCAAGAGACAAUGCUGGAAUAGAUUCC
RNAcentral lists this unclassified non-coding RNA (1356 nucleotides) under uncultured cyanobacterium. RNAcentral's name for it is "bacterial SSU rRNA". The stretch from base 1 to 1067 matches the Rfam family "Bacterial small subunit ribosomal RNA", at positions 471 to 1533 of the family's 1533-position model. Lineage: Bacteria; Bacillati; Cyanobacteriota. The record is from RNAcentral.